RNAcentral lists this ribosomal RNA (497 nucleotides) under uncultured bacterium. RNAcentral's name for it is "partial 16S ribosomal RNA". It matches the Rfam family "Bacterial small subunit ribosomal RNA", at positions 28 to 507 of the family's 1533-position model. The record is from RNAcentral.
GAUGAACGCUGGCGGCGUGCCUAAUACAUGCAAGUCGAGCGAACGGACGAGAAGCUUGCUUCUCUGAUGUUAGCGGCGGACGGGUGAGUAACACGUGGAUAACCUACCUAUAAGACUGGGAAAACUUCGGGAAACCGGAGCUAAUACCGGAUGAUAUUUUGAACCGCAUGGUUCAAAAGUGAAAGACGGUCUUGCUGUCACUUAUAGAUGGAUCCGCGCUGCAUUAGCUAGUUGGUAAGGUAACGGCUUACCAAGGCAACGAUGCAUAGCCGACCUGAGAGGGUGAUCGUCCACACUGGAACUGAGACACGGUCCAGACUCCUACGGGAGGCAGCAGUAGGGAAUCUUCCGCAAUGGGCGAAAGCCUGACGGAGCAACGCCGCGUGAGUGAUGAAGGUCUUCGGAUCGUAAAACUCUGUUAUUAGGGAAGAACAUAUGUGUAAGUAACUGUGCACAUCUUGACGGUACCUAAUCAGAAAGCCACGGCUAACUACGUG